UGGUGGAGUGGAGAGCACUGUAUGAAGUGAUAUUAAAGGUACAGUAGUUUACCUGGUGGAGUGGAGAGCACUGUAUGAAGUGAUAUUAAAGGUACAGUAGUUUACCUGGUGGAGUGGAGAGCACUGUAUGAAGUGAUAUUAAAGGUACAGUAGUUUACCUGGUGGAGUGGAGAGCACUGUAUGAAGUGAUACUAAAGGUACAGUAGUUUACCUGGUGGAGUGGAGAACACUGUAUGAAGUGAUAUUAAAGGUACAGUAGUUUACCUGGUGGAGUGGAGAACACUGUAUGAAGUGAUAUUAAAGGUACAGUAGUUUACCUGGUGGAGUGGAGAGCACUGUAUGAAGUGAUAUUAAAGGUACAGUAGUUUACCUGGUGGAGUGGAGAGCACUGUAUGAAGUGAUACUAAAGGUACAGUAGUUUACCUGGUGGAGUGGAGAACACUGUAUGAAGUGAUAUUAAAGGUACAGUAGUUUACCUGGUGGAGUGGAGAACACUGUAUGAAGUGAUAUUAAAGGUACAGUAGUUUACCUGGUGG
This is a long non-coding RNA of Oncorhynchus keta (chum salmon), 536 nucleotides long. RefSeq lists it as uncharacterized. The transcript is spliced from 4 exons. The record is from RefSeq and is a predicted model, not a curated record. NCBI's taxonomy places the organism in Eukaryota, Metazoa, Chordata, Actinopteri, Salmoniformes, Salmonidae.